RNAcentral lists this long non-coding RNA (1393 nucleotides) under Equus caballus (horse). RNAcentral describes it as "lncRNA (ENSECAG00000051065.1)". Lineage: Eukaryota; Metazoa; Chordata; Mammalia; Perissodactyla; Equidae. The record is from RNAcentral.
GCAAAUCAUUGGCUCUCCCCGGGCCUGGUUCCCGCUUCUCUAACGGAACAGGACUGGACUGGAUCCACUCGGACACCCCUCUCAUCACUACGAUGCACCGUAGGCCUCUGCGGCGAGCCGGUUACCACGGAGACGGGCCGGCGCCGGCUCUGCGACCUUCCGCGGCCUGGGCCUGCUGGUGGCCUGGCGCAGAACAGCCCCCACUCCCCCGGCUUCCAGACGGGCCGGUCACGUGACCGCACAUCCAGCCGUUGGUUCUGGGGCCCGAGGAGGCAGAGCCAUUAGUCUGGGCCGGGGCCCCGGGGAGGCCGAACUACAUUUCCCAGAAGGCUCCGAGCACACUCCGCUUGUGGUCGCGCGGCAACGAAGCGGGGAAGAGUACAUUUGCUGAGACAGCCUCAGCCAAGGCCAGGAUAUUCAUGUAACUCUCAACAAUCAGGUGGGGACAGCUGAAGUCAAGAUCUAGGAGACCCACGGUUCAGAACAAUUUUCUUAAGUGGUACAAAUGCAGUUACCUGUUCCAUGGGUAUCCGGAGUACUGCAUUUUAUUAACUCUCAUGUCAUCAAUUACCAGCAAAGCUCUACUCUUUGUCACGGCAAUGUCACCCACCCUGUGGACAUAAGGGUCUUCUGGUGUUCCCUAAGCAGUCUGAUGUUUCCAGGGGCCUUCCUGAACAGUUCCGAGACGGACGUUUAGUUACAAUCCCAGCCCUCCUGCUGCCGUCAGAGGGGUUCUUCUCCAAUGGAGAUGUGACCACGUUCAUCUGCAGUGAAACUCCGUCGGUGGCACCUCAAACUCUCCCUUCUUGGCCUGGUCUGAGAGGCCCUUCACCAUCUGUGCCCUCGUCUUCUCCCCUGACCCACACACCCAACUCCACCCCCCAUGUCACUCAUGCGCACCCUCACUCCCCGACACGUUCCCUGGGGCCCUGCUGAGCUCUCCUGGGUUCCCCAGGUGACUAGGCUGUUUCAUGUGCAUGUCACACCUGUGAGAGAAAGAAAGUCAUCUUACCUCAACCGUAUGCCAGCACAGGCAUGGCAGAAGUCACUUUGUGCGUUACAAAAUGGCCCUGUGAAAUUAUAAACCAGAACUAGGAUGCCCAGAUCCUUCCCUCCAAAGGGCUGAUAGUUGAAACACUUCUCUGAACUUCCACAGGCAAACAUAUUCAUAUUCCAAAUCAUGUUUUCCAAUACCGUUAAAAAUGUCCAUCAAUAAAAAUACAGUAUUGCAACAUAAAUGGUUAUUAGAAUUAUCCAAUAUAAAAUGCCAACCUAAACAGUUAGGUGGAAUAUUAUGCAGCUGUAAAAAAGGGACGAGGCAGCUCUAUCUGUAUUGACACAAAUUCCCAAGAUAAAAAAGCGUAAAAAACAAGUUGUAGAAAAGUGUCAACAG